This 161-nucleotide non-coding RNA is filed under the name Clostridium amazonitimonense. Lineage: Bacteria; Bacillati; Bacillota; Clostridia; Eubacteriales; Clostridiaceae. The record is from RNAcentral.
UUAUGGUUGCAUAUGCAAUAACAGGGAAUGAGGUUAGAAUCCUCAACAGCCCCCGCUACUGUAAUAGCUACGAAACUCUAUUAAAGUCAUUAAGAUUAGUUCUUGAGAAGACUAAGAGGAUUAGGCUGGAAGCUAUAAGUCAGGAGACCUACCAUAAAAUA